UACGUAGGGUGCAAGCGUUGUCCGGAAUUAUUGGGCGUAAAGAGCUCGUAGGCGGUUUGUCGCGUCGAAUGUGAAAACCCGGGGCUCAACUCCGGGCCUGCAUUCGAUACGGGCAGACUAGAGUUCGGUAGGGGAGACUGGAAUUCCUGGUGUAGCGGUGAAAUGCGCAGAUAUCAGGAGGAACACCGGUGGCGAAGGCGGGUCUCUGGGCCGAUACUGACGCUGAGGAGCGAAAGCGUGGGGAGCGAACGGG
RNAcentral lists this ribosomal RNA (253 nucleotides) under uncultured bacterium. Its description in RNAcentral is "partial 16S ribosomal RNA". It matches the Rfam family "Bacterial small subunit ribosomal RNA", at positions 524 to 776 of the family's 1533-position model. The record is from RNAcentral.